GCGAAUACCGGAGAAUGUUAUCACGGGAGACACACGGCGGGUGCUAACGUCCGUCGUGAAGAGGGAAACAACCCAGACCGCCAGCUAAGGUCCCAAAGUCAUGGUUAAGUGGGAAACGAUGUGGGAAGGCCCAGACAGCCAGGAUGUUGGCUUAGAAGCAGCCAUCAUUUAAAGAAAGCGUAAUAGCUCACUGGUCGAGUCGGCCUGCGCGGAAGAUGUAACGGGGCUAAACCAUGCACCGAAGCUGCGGCAGCGACACUGUGUGUUGUUGGGUAGGGGAGCGUUCUGUAAGCCUGUGAAGGUGGCCUGUGAGGGUUGCUGGAGGUAUCAGAAGUGCGAAUGCUGACAUAAGUAACGAUAAAGCGGGUGAAAAGCCCGCUCGCCGGAAGACCAAGGGUUCCUGUCCAACGUUAAUCGGGGCAGGGUGAGUCGACCCCUAAGGCGAGGCCGAAAGGCGUAGUCGAUGGGAAACGGGUUAAUAUUCCCGUACUUGGUGUUACUGCGAAGGGGGGACGGAGAAGGCUAUGUUGGCCGGGCGACGGUUGUCCCGGUUUAAGCGUGUAGGUGUGUGUUCCAGGUAAAUCCGGUUC
RNAcentral lists this ribosomal RNA (590 nucleotides) under Salmonella enterica subsp. enterica serovar Agona. Its description in RNAcentral is "partial 23S ribosomal RNA". It matches the Rfam family "Bacterial large subunit ribosomal RNA", at positions 956 to 1548 of the family's 2925-position model. Lineage: Bacteria; Pseudomonadati; Pseudomonadota; Gammaproteobacteria; Enterobacterales; Enterobacteriaceae. The record is from RNAcentral.